This is a non-coding RNA of Pelobates cultripes (western spadefoot toad), 279 nucleotides long. NCBI's taxonomy places the organism in Eukaryota, Metazoa, Chordata, Amphibia, Anura, Pelobatidae. The record is from the annotation of a GenBank genome assembly.
AAAUCCUCCUCGUGUGUGGUUAUCCCUAAUUCACUACCAUUUAGGGUGUAAAUUGCUUGUUCAUUUUUAACCCCCGAAGUGCAUAACUUUGCAUUUCUCUACGUUAAAUUUCAUCUGCCAUUUUAGUGCCCAGUCCCCCAAUCUAUCCAAAUCCCUCUGCAGCAAAGCAAUAUCCUGCUCACAUUUUAUUACUUUACAAAGUUUUGUGUCAUCUGCAAACACUGAUACAUGGCUUUCAAUGCCUAUUUCAAGAUCAUUUAUAAAUAUGUUAAAUAAAAG